This is a long non-coding RNA of Mus musculus (house mouse), 251 nucleotides long. RefSeq annotates it as predicted gene, 41153. Lineage: Eukaryota; Metazoa; Chordata; Mammalia; Rodentia; Muridae. The transcript has 3 exons. The record is from RefSeq and is a predicted model, not a curated record.
CAAUGAAGAGUCCCUGUCCGGGCUAAGAUAGAAGAAACCUCCCUCCAGUUCUCCCACCUGAGUACAGGUUGGCUUCCUGUCGUUUUGACUAAACACUAGGCAAAAACAAGUUGGGGAGGAACGGCUUGAUUUCAUCAGUGAUGUCCUCCACCAUUGAGGGGAUCCAAGGUGGGCACUUGAAACAGAAACCACGGAGGGACCGCUUCCUUCCCGGAUUGCUUCCCCAGGAGUGAAAGGUGACCGCAAAACCU